Molecule: ribosomal RNA, 429 nt
Filed under: Parasesarma semperi
Lineage: Eukaryota; Metazoa; Arthropoda; Malacostraca; Decapoda; Sesarmidae
Description: partial 16S ribosomal RNA
Source: RNAcentral
UUAUUUUUAAGAGCCGCGGUAUUUCUGACUGUGCAAAGGUAGCAUAAUCGUUAGUUUUUUAAUUGAAAUCUUGUAUGAAUGGUUUGACAAAAAAAAGACUGUCUUUAUAAUUAUUAAUUGAAUUUAACUUUUAAGUGAAAAGGCUUAAAUAAAUUAAAAAGACGAUAAGACCCUAUAAAGCUUUAUAUUAAUUUAUUAUUUAAUAAAAUUUUUUUAGUAUAAAUAUUUGGUAAUAGAUUUUAUUUUAUUGGGGUGAUAAUGGUAAAAUGAUUAAUAACUGUUAAUUUCGUUAAAACAAAAAUAAAUGAAUAAAUUGUAUUUAAUAAAUGAUCCUAUUUAAAGAUUUAAAGUUUAAGUUACUUUAGGGAUAACAGCGUUAUUUUUUUUGAGAGUUCUUAUCGAGAAAAAAGUUUGCGACCUCGAUGUUGA